Molecule: long non-coding RNA, 428 nt
Organism: Girardinichthys multiradiatus
Lineage: Eukaryota; Metazoa; Chordata; Actinopteri; Cyprinodontiformes; Goodeidae
Exons: 3
Source: RefSeq, a predicted model, not a curated record
UGUGCAUGAGUUGUUUAGAAUAAAUGCCGGCGCCAUUGGGCCAGAGCAAAGACUAUGGACUCCUCGUUUUUAUGAAGAAACCACAAUUAAACAUGGUGGCAUCGGCGGUGGAUUCUUGCCCAGUCUCUGAGUGGUUUGCUGCAGAUCAAUCAGACAUCAAUUGCUAACUGUUAGCGAAGAUUAGAAGCUGGUCUGCUGGCAGACAGGAAGUAAUCUACAAGUCAUAUGAUACUGCUACCGAUUAGAUCUCACACCACACAUCACUCCAAGGGACUUUUCAUUUUCCAAGUCCUAUUUCGGGGAUUCUAAAUGGGCUCGGGAAAAACCAUUUUCUGAGGACUGCACCUCCAUGUUGAGUCUCCUCCUCCCAAAGCUUCAUCAGCAAGUUUCCCCAGAUGACCCAUCCUCACAAUCAACCCAUUCAUUCC